UUUAGUGGCACUCCUCCAUCUCUCUGGGAGAUCCAACACUUGAGGGCUUAUGAGCCGUUUCAGUAUGAAUGAAAGGGAGAAGAACAGAACAGAGGCUAUAAAGCAUGGCUUCAGCAUCUGCUUCUGCUGAGAGCCUCAGAAAGCUUCCGGCUAUGGCAGAAAGUGAAGGUCAGCAAGCAUCACAUGAAUUACAAAUCUAGUUUAGCCCAGGACCAGAUGGAUUCACAGCCGAAUUCUACCACAAAUUCAAAGAAGAGCUGGUACCAUUCCUUCUGAAAAUAUUCCAAACAAUUGAAAAGGGGGGACUCCUCCCUAACUCAUUUUAUGAAGCCAGCAUCAUCCUGAUACCAAAACCGGGAAGAGACACAACAAAUAAGAAAACUUCAGGCCAAUAUCCUUGAUGAACAUUGAUGAGAAAAUCCUCAAUAAAAAACUGGCAAACCGAAUCCAGCAGCCCAUCAAAAAACUUAUCCACCACAAUCAAGUUGGCUUCAUCCCUGGGAUGCAAGGCUGGUUAAACAUAUGCAAAUCAAUAAACAUAAUUCAUCAUAUAAACAGAACCAAAGACAAAAACCACAGGAUUAUCUUAAUAGAUGCAGAAAAGGCCUUUGAUACAAUUCGACAUUCCUUCAUGUUAAAAACUCUCAAUAAACUAGGCAUUGAUGGAACACAUUUCAAAAUAAUAAGAGCUGCUUAUGACAAACCCAGAACCAAUAUCAUAUUGAAUAGGCAAAAGCUGAAAUCAUUCCCUUUGAAAACCAGCACAAGACAAGGAUGCCCUCUCUCACCGCUCCUAUUCAACAUAUUAUUGGAAGUUCUGGGCAAGAGAAAGAAAUAGAGUAUUCAAAUAGGAAGAGAGGAAGUCAUGUUGCAUCUGUUUGCAGGUGACAUGAUAUUAUAUUUAGAAAACCCCAUCAUCUCAGCCAGAAAACUUCUUGAAAUGAUAAGCAACUUCAGCAAAGUCUCAGGAUGCAAAAUCAACGUGCAAAAAUCACAAGCAUUCUCUUACACCAACAAUAGGCAAGCAGAAAGCCAAAUCACGAAUGAACUCCCAUUCACAAUCCCUACAAAGAGAAUAAAAUACCUAGGAAUAGAGCUAACAAGGAAUGUGAAGGACCUCUUCAAGAAGAACUACAAACCACUGCUCAAGGAAAUAAGAGAAGGCACAAACAAAUGGAAAAACAUUCCACCCUCAUGGACAGGAAGAAUCAAUAUCAUGAAAAUGGUUAUACUGGCCAAAGUAAUUUAUAGAUUCAAUGCAAUUCUCAUCAAACUACCACUGACAUUCUUCACAGAAUUAGACAAAAACUAUUUUAACUUUCAUGUGGAAUCAAAGAAGACCCGUAUAGCCAAGGCGAUCCUAAACAAAAAGAACAAAGCAGGAGGCAUCACACUACCUGACUUCAAACUAUACUACAAUGCUACAGUAGCCAAAACAGCAUGGUACUGGUACCAAAACAGACAUAUGGACCAAUGGAGCAGAACAGAGACCUCAGAAAGAACACCACACAUCUACAACCAUCUGAUCUUUGAUAAACCUGACAAAAACAAGCAAUGGGGAAAGGAUCUCCUAUUCAGAAAAUGGUGCUGGGAAAACUGGCUAGUCAUAUGCAGAAAACUGAAACUGGACCCGUUCCUUACACCUUGUACAAAAAUUAACUCAAGAUAGAUUAAAGACUUAAAUGUAAAACCCAAAACCAUAAAAACCCUACAAGAAAACCUAGGCAAUACCAUUCAGGAUGUAGGCAUGGGCAAAGACUUCAUGACACAAACACCAAAAACAAUUGCAACAAAAGCCAAAAUUGACAAAUGGAAUCUAAUUAAACUAAAGAGCUUCUGCACAGCAAAAGGAACUAGCAUCAGAGAGAACAGGCAACAUACAGAAUGGGAGAAAUUUUUUGCAAUCUACCCACCUGAUGAAGGUCUAAUAUCCAGAAUUUACAAGGAACUUAAACA
This is a long non-coding RNA of Homo sapiens (human), 1956 nucleotides long. RefSeq lists it as uncharacterized. NCBI's taxonomy places the organism in Eukaryota, Metazoa, Chordata, Mammalia, Primates, Hominidae. The transcript is spliced from 3 exons. The record is from RefSeq and is a predicted model, not a curated record.